This 433-nucleotide ribosomal RNA is filed under the name uncultured bacterium. Its description in RNAcentral is "partial 16S ribosomal RNA". It matches the Rfam family "Bacterial small subunit ribosomal RNA", at positions 29 to 507 of the family's 1533-position model. The record is from RNAcentral.
AACGAACGCUGGCGGCAUGCCUAACACAUGCAAGUCGAACGAGACCGUCGUGUCUAGUGGCGCACGGGUGCGUAACGCGGGGUAACCUGCCCUUAGGUUCCGAAUAACUCCCCGAAAGGGGUCCUAAUACCGCAGAAUGUCUUCGCGCCUAAGAUGUUUUGCUGUUGGGUGGGCCCGGGUUGGAUUAGCUAGUUGGUAGGGUAAAAGCAUAGCAAGGAGAGGAUGCAUAGCUGGUCUGAGAGGAUGAUCCGCUACACUGGGACUGAGACACGGACCAGAAUCGUAGGGAAGGCAGGGGUGGGGUGUAUAGGGGGAUGGGCGAUAGUGUGGUCAAGCCAUGUCGGGUGAGUGAUCAAGGGGUUAGGGUUGUACAGCCGUCUUAGACGGGAUGAUAAUGACGGUACCGGGAGAAUAAGCACCGGCUAACUACGUG